GCACGGGUGCGUAACGCGUAUGCAACCUACCUUUCACAGGGGGAUAGCCCGAAGAAAUUUGGAUUAAUACCCCAUAAUAUUAUUGGGUGGCAUCAUUUGAUAAUUAAAAUUACGAUGGUGAAAGAUGGGCAUGCGUCCUAUUAGCUAGUUGGAGUGGUAACGGCACCCCAAGGCUACGAUAGGUAGGGGUCCUGAGAGGGAGAUCCCCCACACUGGUACUGAGACAGGGACCAGACUCCUACGGGAGGCAGCAGUGAGGAAUAUUGGUCAAUGGUCGGAAGACUGAACCAGCCAUGCCGCGUGCAGGAAGAAUGCCUUAUGGGUUGUAAACUGCUUUUAUAUGGGAAGAAUAAGGAGUACGUGUACUUUGAUGACGGUACCAUAUGAAUAAGCAUCGGCUAACUCCGUGCCAGCAGCCGCGGUAAUACGGAGGAUGCGAGCGUUAUUCGGAAUCAUUGGGUUUAAAGGGUCUGUAGGCGGGCUAUUAAGUCAGGGGUGAAAGGUUUCAGCUUAACUGAGAAAUUGCCUUUGAUACUGGUAGUCUUGAAUAUCUGUGAAGUUCUUGGAAUGUGUAGUGUAGCGGUGAAAUGCUUAGAUAUUACACAGAACACCGAUUGCGGAGGCAGGGGACUAACAGACGAUUGACGCUGAGAGACGAAAGCGUGGGGAGCGAACAGGAUUAGAUACCCUGGUAGUCCACGCUGUAAACGAUGGAUACUAGCUGUUUGGAGUAAUUUGAGUGGCU
RNAcentral lists this ribosomal RNA (745 nucleotides) under uncultured Bacteroidota bacterium. RNAcentral's name for it is "bacterial SSU rRNA". It matches the Rfam family "Bacterial small subunit ribosomal RNA", at positions 100 to 848 of the family's 1533-position model. The record is from RNAcentral. Lineage: Bacteria; Pseudomonadati; Bacteroidota.